UACGUAGGGGGCGAGCGUUAUCCGGAUUUACUGGGUGUAAAGGGAGCGUAGACGGUGGCACAAGUCAGAUGUGGAAGCCCAGGGCCCAGCCCUGGGAGAGCAUUUGAGACUGCGGCACUGGAGUGCUGGAGGGGUGGGCGGAAUUCCCGGUGUAGCGGUGAAAUGCGUAGAUAUCGGGAAGAACACCGGCGGCGAAGGCGGCCCACUGGACAGCGACUGACGUUGAGGCUCGAGAGCGUGGGGAGCGAAC
RNAcentral lists this ribosomal RNA (250 nucleotides) under uncultured prokaryote. RNAcentral describes it as "partial 16S ribosomal RNA". It matches the Rfam family "Bacterial small subunit ribosomal RNA", at positions 524 to 773 of the family's 1533-position model. The record is from RNAcentral.